AUGGCAGAUGGGUACCACUGGGAAUCCUGUUAUAAACAAAGAGUGCAGAUUACUUUGCUCUUUUCCAGGGGAAGAAAGUCACGGACUGAGGGCAGCAUGAAGAAUACUAAAGAGUGUCUAUCAAGGCUGGGCAGAAGACAAAAGAAAGAUGACAUCAGUUACCUCUUUGUACUGUUCCGAGUGGCAUACAACAUGACAAAUGGAAAUUGCUUGCAACUGGUGAGGUUACACUAUAAAAGCCCUUCUACACACCCACAAAGGAGCUCAGAGAGACAAUGGCAGGAGGGGGAGCCCAAAUAA
This 300-nucleotide long non-coding RNA is filed under the name Anser cygnoides (Swan goose). Its description in RNAcentral is "lncRNA (ENSACDG00005002721.1)". The record is from RNAcentral. Lineage: Eukaryota; Metazoa; Chordata; Aves; Anseriformes; Anatidae.